RNAcentral lists this long non-coding RNA (610 nucleotides) under Vulpes vulpes (red fox). RNAcentral's name for it is "lncRNA (ENSVVUG00000018534.1)". Lineage: Eukaryota; Metazoa; Chordata; Mammalia; Carnivora; Canidae. The record is from RNAcentral.
CUCCGCCCCGCCCAAGGCCCCGCCCACCGCGCUGACGCCUGCCCCACUGCGGCCGCCUGCGAGGUAAGCACGCGCUUCUCGGCCUCUAAACUUCCAAACAGGCCCCUCCACACAGCCCCUCAGGGUGCUGAAGGAGUUACCGUAAUCAGACUCGUUAUCAGAAACAUUUUUUUUAAAAGCUCAUGAACGCUCCAAGGCCUCACCCACAGUUAAUCCAACUUUAAUGGCCUUAUCUUACCAGCUCCGGCCUGGCCUCCGAGUCCAGCCUCCAUCAUUUCCGGGGGAGGGCGGGACUUCCUGUCUGGGGAGGAGCCAAUUGGGAACGGGUUCUGCUGCCUGUGGACCCGAUUGGCUGAAUGCUUUUCAAAGUCCCAGUCUCUUUUAUUCUCUUCAAUUAAAAAGAGAGCAAGACAAAAGAAAAGAAGGAAACAGAAAUGACCUGAAUCCUCAAGGAAGAAUUGAGUCUAUUGAUAGAAAUGAUGAAAAGCAUUACAAGAACUGGGUGAGAUUGUUUUUGGACUUAGGUUCUGGGUGGGGGGGGAAACACAUUAAAUCUAUUCUAAUUUCUGAUUACGACCAAAAAAAUACAAACACAACAAAUCUUUUAUGA